Molecule: ribosomal RNA, 589 nt
Filed under: uncultured bacterium
Lineage: Bacteria
Description: bacterial SSU rRNA
Rfam family: Bacterial small subunit ribosomal RNA
Source: RNAcentral
UCCUACGGGAGGCAGCAGUAGGGAAUCUUCCGCAAUGGACGAAAGUCUGACGGAGCAACGCCGCGUGAGUGAUGAAGGUUUUCGGAUCGUAAAACUCUGUUGUCAGGGAAGAACAUGUACGGGAGUAACUGUCCGUACCUUGACGGUACCUGACCAGAAAGCCACGGCUAACUACGUGCCAGCAGCCGCGGUAAUACGUAGGUGGCAAGCGUUGUCCGGAAUUAUUGGGCGUAAAGCGCGCGCAGGCGGUCUUUUAAGUCUGAUGUGAAAGCCCACGGCUCAACCGUGGAAGGUCAUUGGAAACUGGAAGACUUGAGUGCAGAAGAGAAGAGCGGAAUUCCACGUGUAGCGGUGAAAUGCGUAGAGAUGUGGAGGAACACCAGUGGCGAAGGCGGCUCUUUGGUCUGUAACUGACGCUGAGGCGCGAAAGCGUGGGGAGCAAACAGGAUUAGAUACCCUGGUAGUCCACGCCGUAAACGAUGAGUGCUAAGUGUUGGGGGGUUUCCGCCCCUCAGUGCUGCAGCUAACGCAUUAAGCACUCCGCCUGGGGAGUACGGCCGCAAGGCUGAAACUCAAAGGAAUUGACGGA